This 73-nucleotide transfer RNA is filed under the name Tursiops truncatus (common bottlenose dolphin). Its description in RNAcentral is "tRNA-Asp (GTC) (tRNA-Asp-GTC-15-1)". It matches the Rfam family "tRNA". From Rfam's summary of the family: Transfer RNA (tRNA) molecules are approximately 80 nucleotides in length. Their secondary structure includes four short double-helical elements and three loops (D, anti-codon, and T loops). Lineage: Eukaryota; Metazoa; Chordata; Mammalia; Artiodactyla; Delphinidae. The record is from RNAcentral.
UUCCCUGCAGUCCAGUGGUUAGGACUUGGCACUGUCACUGCCGGGGCCCAGGUUCGAUCCCUGGUCAGGGGAG